Molecule: long non-coding RNA, 1349 nt
Organism: Clupea harengus (Atlantic herring)
Lineage: Eukaryota; Metazoa; Chordata; Actinopteri; Clupeiformes; Clupeidae
Source: Ensembl
CAGCAAGGUCAUCCUGGGUACAACAUGAUAGGCAGUGCUCUUCACCAAGAGGAAGUGUGGCCAUCCCUUUAGUGACCUCACCUACCCGAACAUUUCCCCGGUGGCUGGAUGAAGAGUACAAGCCCUCUGCUCCCAGUGUCUCCUGUCUGCAUGCGUCAGCAGCUCUCCCCAACUCUCUAGCCAGCAUGACCAGCAGAGUGAGCCGUCUGGAGGUCUUGAAGUCUACAGCCACAUCCCUCUCCAACCGAAUCGAGAGUGAGGCCCGCAAAUUGCUACUCACCUGUAAGGGCGGCCAGAGUUCAGAGUUGGGUGCAGACUUGCCAAAUCACUGGGCUAGAGUGGCGGCCGGCUCUAGUAUUGGCACUGUGGCGAAGCCAGAAUCCCCGGAGGAGGAGAACAUUCAGAAGCUGCUGUGUUUGGGCCUGACCUCCUAUGAUGGACCUCUUCCUGGAGUGGGACAUUUGGGCGCCGCCUUCAGAGAAUCGCAAGAACGAGCGGCAGACACGGGAAAAGGUGCAAUGACUCCCGGCACUGCAGACUCCGUCUUGUCCAGGCAAAGGGACGGCAGCCUGAGGCAGGCUGAAGAAGAACCAAUCAUGUCCUCCCACCACCACCAUAACCAUUACGGCUCCAAUGAGAGCUCCAUCAGCGAGGGCAGUCUGGCGGAGUGGAGGGCCGCUUCCCAGCAGCCAACCAAACCAUCCUUGCAUGUCGCACUUCUAGACAUGGAGCGCGUUCAGCCGGAGAGCACUCCUUUGCACAACAUCUCUGUCUUCAGUAGUGGGACAGAAACAUGCAGACUGUUCAGCAGUACAAUACCUCAAGAUCUGGAUGCCAGUAUGGCUGCCUGGAGAGAACUGACCAAGGGUAGUCCUCACAGUGUCAUUAACAUCUUCACCAAGAAUCUCCCCAGCAGCAGCAGAGUGACUAAGGGAAGAAGUGGGAGAUCCAGUCCUGUGUCCUGCCCUGGUCAUCCAGAAGGCCUUUAUGAGAAUAACAUCUCCUCACCAGGCAGUAACACCAAUGGCCACCCAAUCAUCAGGACUUCAAGCAGACACAGCAGCGUAGUAAACCACCAUGAAAGCAGUCCUCAAGAAGACUCGAAACGUCAGAAGUCAGGCACACAGUCCUAUUCCUCAGUGGGCUCUCCAGUAUCAUCUUCCUUCUCCUCUCCUAGUUUCCCAGACAUGGAUGGAAAUGUUGAUGUGACACUGGUGGGGGGUCUGGGCGGCGACUGGUCUCCUGUCAUCGAUCCUGGAUCUUUGGGCUCCGUGAAGGAAGGCGCUGCUGAAGGGAACUCUGCUCACGGUUCUCUUAACGGCUUGGACCCCGACAGCAGAGCGGGGAGU